UAAUGAGUUGCUGCUUCAUUUCCUAAAGCAAGGCAUUUCUUCAUUGCAGCGUCCUUGAGACUUUGUGCUGCGCGGGGUGCUCACUCAAUCUUGGCUACGUGUACAGAUGCACGCCCAAGAAUCUUGAUUACAAGAGAGACUUGUUUUGCCUCAGUGUUGAAGCCAUUGAAAGUUAUGUUUUAGGGUCCUCUGAAAAGCAAAUUGUGUCAGAAGAUAAAGAGCUUUUUAAUCUUGAAAGCAGAGUUGAAAUAGAAAAGUCUCUAACACAGGUAAUUUUAUUCGUACAUUUUAUAUCUUUGUAUGAACAGUUUGUCAGUGAAGAAGUGCUCCCCCACAAACGAUAAUUCUCAUAACGUCAUCUGUGUUG
Molecule: small RNA, 367 nt
Filed under: Pan troglodytes (chimpanzee)
Lineage: Eukaryota; Metazoa; Chordata; Mammalia; Primates; Hominidae
Description: processed transcript
Source: RNAcentral